This is an RNA transcript of Syngnathoides biaculeatus (alligator pipefish), 3877 nucleotides long. It is a transcript of the gene named piwi-like RNA-mediated gene silencing 2, with no coding region annotated. NCBI's taxonomy places the organism in Eukaryota, Metazoa, Chordata, Actinopteri, Syngnathiformes, Syngnathidae. The record is from RefSeq and is a predicted model, not a curated record. The transcript is spliced from 27 exons.
ACCUUUUCGCAUGAGUACCGCUUUGGGUGAGAUCUGAUUACGAUAAAUAACCUCGUUAUUCAUUUGCUAGGUUUUGGACGGAAGUAACUGCUAACAAUUCUCAUCGGGUAACUUUACAAAGGAGGUCUACUGUGAGUGGAGGAAAAUUUGACCGGUAGGUAAAGUAGAUCAGUCUGCUUGGCCUGGUGAACUGUGACGUUUGUUUCGACAACCUCCAAACGUUUGCUGCCUACUUAAUUUGACUCGUACUAUUUUGAGGGGACAAAAUGGAUCCAAGCAGGCCACCUGACAUCAGUAAUAUGCCUGACGUUCCCUGGUGGGGACGCAGUCGAGGACGUGAUAUAGGACUAGCCAGAGGUUUUUCCACUCCUGCUAAUAUCACAGAAGGACAAGUACCCGGGGUAACGAUUUGCGAGCCUUUAGCUGGACGAGCUCGAGGUCUUGGUCGAGCAAGAGUGGGGCUGUUUUCCACGACAGGACCAAAGCUUGGUAUGUCAAGAGGCACAGUCCUGGCUAGCAGGGAGAUUCGGAAAGAUAUUACAGAAGAAGUCCUGACCACAAAAGAGGUUGAAUCCCUUCCACGUGCUCAAGGGUCUGUAUUUGUCUCAAUGUUCAGACAAAUGGGUUUGGAACCCUUGGUGGCCUCACGGGGAAGAGGAACAUUACCAGUAGAAAGAGAAGUAGUUGGGGAGAUGGAAGAGUUGAAGCAGCCAAGCGCAGCUGUAGGAAUGGUAUCCAGUUGUCCACAGCCCAGUGACCUCCCACUAAAAGUGAUCGGCAGAGGGCGAAGUUCUCUUGGCCAAGAAAAUUUGACCAGUGUGACGGUGGGAGUUGGAAUAACACCAAAGCCUGCCCUUGGAAUGGGACGAGGAAGCUCUUUAUGUCUUCCUUUUCCUCUUGAAAGUGUUCAGACUGGUUCUCUUACCUCUGACGUGACUGCAUGCGAUCACUCAAAGAUCUCUGACACAGGAAUUGUGUCCAUUGUUCAAGAGGUGCAAGAUCCCUCGGCUAUUGUACCAGGAAAGGAGUUGAAAAUGGAGCCAAAAUGUGAGCCACUCAACAAGGCUGGAUCAAAAGGAACUCCAAUAACUAUUGGGUCCAAUCAUAUUCCAAUUCAAUGCAAGAAUAAAGCCAUUUAUCAGUACCAUGUGACAUUUACACCAAAUGUUGAAUCCAUGUCAAUGCGUUUUGCAAUGAUGAAAGAUCAAUGCUCGACCACAGGAGAAGUUAUGGCUUUUGAUGGUUCAAUACUCUACCUUCCUCUCCAACUUAAGGAUGAAGUGGUUCUCAAGAGUUUGAGAAGAACAGACAAUGAAGAAAUCAAAAUCCAAAUACAGAUGACAAAGAUACUUCCUCCCAACUCUGAUCUGUGUAUCCCACUCUACAAUGUCGUGCUCAGGAGGGCCAUGAAAAUACUUGGAUUUAAAUUGGUACGAAGAAAUCAUUAUGAUCCUGAAAGUGCAGUAGUUCUUGGCAAACAUAGACUGCAGGUGUGGCCUGGUUAUUCAACAUGUAUCAAAAAUACAGAUGGAGGUCUGUACCUGUGUGUUGAUAUGUCUCACAAAGUCUUGCGGAAUGACUCUGUGCUGGAUCUCAUGAGCAUCCUAUAUCAACAAAGCAAAGAAAAUUUUAAAGAUGAAUGUACCAAAGAAUUUGUUGGUGGGAUCAUUAUCACCCGCUACAACAACCGGACUUACCGCAUCGACGCCAUUGAGUGGGACAAAUCACCCAAAGACACCUUCACUUUGAUGGAUGGCACAAAAACCACUUUUGUGGACUACUACAGCAAGCAUUAUGGAAUUAUUAUUAAAGAUAUGGACCAACCUCUUCUAAUGCAUCAACCAAAGGAGCGUUCAAAGCCAGGGGAAAAGCAAGUCUUUACUGGUGAGAUCCUAAUAGUUCCUGAGCUAGCUUUUAUGACUGGGAUCCCGGAAAAUAUGAAGAAGGAUUUCAGAGCAAUGAAGGACCUGACCAUGCACAUUAAUGUGAAUGCUGAGCAGCACACCCAUUCAGUAAAGCAACUUCUGAAGAACAUAAAUACUAACCCUGACAGUCAGAAAGAGAUCACCCAAUGGGGUCUGCAACUUGACUCUGAAAUCCUGCUGAUAAAGGGUAGAUCUCUUCCUCUUGAAACUAUUUGUCUCCAAACUUCGUCAUUUACCAUUGGUGCUGAUGGGUCUUGGUCCAGAGAGGUUGUCAGGCUGGCUUCAAUCAGCUCAGUUCCCCUGAAAACCUGGGCCAUUUUCUACCCUCGACGCUGUGCAGAGCAAGCUGAAGAGUUCAUUUCAACCUUUAGCAAGGUGGGUGGGCCUCUUGGGUUGCAAGUGGCUCGUCCUACUUGUGUAGAGCUGAGGGAUGAUCGCAUAGAAACGUAUGUCAAGAGCAUCCACUCUCAGCUAACUUGUGAGGCUAGUUUGCAGCUUGUGGUGUGCAUCUUGGUAGGAAACAGAAAUGAUCUCUACUGUGCCAUCAAGAAACUCUGCUGUGUCAAAAGUCCCAUUCCAUCCCAGGCUAUCAAUGUCCGGACAAUUUCCCAGCAACAGAAGUUAAGGAGUGUGGCCCAAAAGAUACUCCUACAAGUGAACAGUAAAUUAGGAGGAGAACUUUGGACUGUCAAUAUCCCGCUGAAAAGUUUGAUGGUUGUAGGAGUUGAUGUCCACCAUAACACCAGCAAGACUCACCAAUCAGUCAUGGGCUUUGUUGCAAGCAUCAACAGCUCACUGACUCGCUGGUAUUCCAGAGUAACAUUUCAAAGACCCAGUGAAGAACUCAUCAAUGGUUUCACAGUUUGCUUGUUGGAUGCGCUGCACAAGUAUCAUGAGGUCAACCAUUGCUUCCCAGAACGGAUUGUGGUAUAUCGGGAUGGCGUGUCAGAUGGUCAGCUCAAGAUGGUUGAGGAUUAUGAGAUCCCUCAGUUGAUCAAAUGCUUCAAGACAUUUCCCACCUAUGAGCCAAAACUUGUCUUCAUUGUGGUUCAAAAGAGAAUCAGCACUACCCUCUAUUCCUAUGUUGGAAGCAGCUUUGGCUCGCCUUCACCUGGAACUGUUCUGGAUCACACGCUCACUCAAAAAUACUGGGUGGACUUCUACCUAAUGGCACAUCACGUUCGCCAGGGAUGCGGACUUCCUACCCACUACAUUACCCUGUACAAUACAGCAAACCUAAUGCCAGAUCAUCUACAAAGGCUGACCUUCAAAAUGUGCCAUUUAUAUUGGAACUGGCCUGGAACAAUUCGAGUUCCAGCACCAUGCAAAUAUGCGCACAAACUGGCUUACCUUUCAGGCCAGUACCUACAUUCAGAGCCAUCCAUCCAUCUGGCUGACAAACUUUUUUUUCUUUGAAAGUUGUCUUGUUUUCCAGUACUAUUGGCUCUCAAUAGUAUUGGAAUUGAUACACGGAGACAGAAGGAAGUCACUACAGGAGUAACAUGGACAAUGAAAGAGUGGAGCAUUUGAUCAGAAGAGGAAAGAUGGCUUACUCCUGAGCAAUUUACCACCACUCCUGAAAUGCACAUCGAAACCUGCGGACGGGAGACAUCAUGCUUCUGAAGGAUAACCAACACCCUCGUAACGAGUGGCGGAUGGGACUGGUCACCUCAACCUUCCCGAGCAGUGAUGGGAAGGUUAGGAAGAUAGAAGUCAGGAGAACCACUCUGGACACUGUCAAGACAUUCCUCAGACCUCUGUCUGAGGCCAUCCUACUUCCCAAAAAGAAUUAAGGAUCAUGAGAAAAUGACAAUGUAAACAGAGGAGUGACAUUUGCACAAUGUCAGGCGGAGUGUUCUCCCCUGCAAGAUGUUAUAAGGGACUCUUCUGUUUUGCAUAUUUUAUUAUUUUUUGCAGUUAAUCAGUUACAUUUGUACACAGCCUUGUUAAUU